UCGGGUCAGGUGGAGCAGCUCCUCUAGCACCUAAUGGUGGGGGUGGAGGAGGUCCAACCCCAGGAGGUCUAGGAGGGCCAGGUGCUCCACGACCUCCACCAGGAGGGGGAGGUGGUGCCGGUGCUCCACCACCCCCGGGUGGGGGAGGUGGUGGUGGGGCUCUACCACCGCCGGGCGGGGGAGGUGGUGGUGGGGCUCUACCACCGCCGGGAGGGGGAGGUGGUGGAGGGGCUCUACCACCGCCGGGAGGGGGAGGUG
Molecule: long non-coding RNA, 258 nt
Filed under: Cucumis sativus (cucumber)
Lineage: Eukaryota; Viridiplantae; Streptophyta; Magnoliopsida; Cucurbitales; Cucurbitaceae
Description: long non-coding RNA (CSAT_LNC000042)
Source: RNAcentral